GACGAACGCUGGCGGCGUGCUUAACACAUGCAAGUCGAACGGUAAGGCCCUUCGGGGUACACGAGUGGCGAACGGGUGAGUAACACGUGGGUGAUCUGCCCUGCACUUCGGGAUAAGCCUGGGAAACUGGGUCUAAUACCGGAUAGGACCACUGCCUGCAUGGGUGGUGGUGGAAAGCUUUUGCGGUGUGGGAUGGGCCCGCGGCCUAUCGGCUUGUUGGUGGGGUGAUGGCCUACCAAGGCGACGCCGGGUAGCCGGCCGGAGAGGGUGACCGGCCACACUGGGACUGGGAUACGGCCCAGACUCCUACGGGAGGCAGCAGUGGGGAAUAUUGCACAAUGGGCGCAAGCCUGAUGCAGCGACGCCGCGUGAGGGAUGACGGCCUUCGGGUUGUAAACCUCUUUCAGCACCGACGAAGCGCAAGUGACGGUAGGUGCAGAAGAAGGGCCGGCCAACUACGUGCCAGCAGCCGCAGUAA
This 478-nucleotide ribosomal RNA is filed under the name uncultured bacterium. RNAcentral's name for it is "partial 16S ribosomal RNA". It matches the Rfam family "Bacterial small subunit ribosomal RNA", at positions 28 to 523 of the family's 1533-position model. The record is from RNAcentral.